AUAACUUAGCGGGAGUGAGAAAAACAAGGCAUUGUGAGCUAACGUUACGUACCGAGUAAAGUUAGUACAAGGGGGAGUGACAGACUGCGGCUGGAAAUCAUAAG
Long non-coding RNA from Sander lucioperca (pikeperch), 104 nucleotides. RefSeq lists it as uncharacterized. Lineage: Eukaryota; Metazoa; Chordata; Actinopteri; Perciformes; Percidae. The record is from RefSeq and is a predicted model, not a curated record. The transcript has 2 exons.